GUGGGGAAUCUUCCGCAAUGGACGAAAGUCUGACGGAGCAACGCCGCGUGAGUGAUGAAGGUCUUCGGAUUGUAAAGCUCUGUUAAUCGGGACGAAAGAGCCUAGUGUGAAUAAUGCUAGGAAGUGACGGUACCGGAAUAGAAAGCCACGGCUAACUACGUGCCAGCAGCCGCGGUAAUACGUAGGUGGCAAGCGUUGUCCGGAAUUAUUGGGCGUAAAGCGCGCGCAGGCGGAUCUGCCAGUCUGUCUUAAAAGUUAGUGGCUUAACCCCGUGAUGGGAUGGAAACUACAGAUCUAGAGUAUCGGAGAGGAAAGUGGAAUUCCUAGUGUAGCGGUGAAAUGCGUAGAUAUUAGGAAGAACACCAGUGGCGAAGGCGACUUUCUGGACGAAAACUGACGCUGAGGCGCGAAAGCCAGGGGAGCGAACGGGAUUAGAAACCCCGGUAGUCC
This 450-nucleotide ribosomal RNA is filed under the name uncultured bacterium. Its description in RNAcentral is "partial 16S ribosomal RNA". It matches the Rfam family "Bacterial small subunit ribosomal RNA", at positions 354 to 796 of the family's 1533-position model. The record is from RNAcentral.